RNAcentral lists this ribosomal RNA (201 nucleotides) under uncultured bacterium. RNAcentral's name for it is "partial 16S ribosomal RNA". It matches the Rfam family "Bacterial small subunit ribosomal RNA", at positions 328 to 545 of the family's 1533-position model. The record is from RNAcentral.
ACGCUCGACACCUACGGGAGCAGCAGUGGGGAAUAUUGCACAAUGGGGGAAACCCUGAUGCAGCGACGCCGCGUGAGCGAAGAAGUAUUUCGGUAUGUAAAGCUCUAUCAGCAGGGAAGAAACUGACGGUACCUGACUAAGAAGCACCGGCUAAAUACGUGCAAGCAGCCCGACGUAUCUGAGGCGGGCGUGGACGAAGGC